This 1458-nucleotide ribosomal RNA is filed under the name Triticum aestivum (bread wheat). RNAcentral describes it as "partial small subunit ribosomal RNA". Lineage: Eukaryota; Viridiplantae; Streptophyta; Magnoliopsida; Poales; Poaceae. The record is from RNAcentral.
AUGGCCUAUCUUUCAGGAACUAUCUUUCAACCCUUAAACCUUGGGGGGGCCACACAUUCAUGCAAACAUUGUGGUUCUUUGUUUUGGUAUGAAGAGUGUAUCCGCAGAGAGAGACAUACUUCUGAUCCAACAUAUAAUUUGUGUUGUAAAGGAGGGAAACUCUUCCUGAAACCAAUGCCUCCUCCUCAGCCUCUAUUGGAUUUAUUAACCUCACAGAACAGUACAACUUUGAACCACUUUUUUGAUCAUAUCUGGUAGUAUAAUACCAUGUUUGCGAUGACUUCAAUGGGUGCUAAAGUUAUUGAAUCCAUAAAUGAUGGCCGAGCAUCCUAUGUUUUCAAGAUUAGUGGUCAAGUCUGCCAUCGUAUCGGUUCUCUAAUGCGACCUGAGAAUCGUCAACCAGAAUAUGCACAAUUGUACAUCUAUGAUAUAGAGCAUGAGGUUAGAAACUGCAUAAAUAUUACUGCAUCUUCUCACCCUCCAUCAUCUCGGUCUUCGUCUUCCCGCCCUUCUUUCAAUGCUAAUCAAGAUAUUGUCCAGUCCCUUAUAUCGAUGCUUAACACCCAUAAUCCCAUAGUGAAACUAUUUAGAACAGCACGGGAAAGAUUGACUGUAGAUGCUCCUGAUCAGUUCUUUAUCAGAUCAUAUGGCAAACCCGACGCACAUGGAGACAUCUAUAGUGCUCCGAUCACAACUGAGGUUGUAGGGUUGGUUGUUGGUGAUAUUGGGUCAACUGAUGUUGGGAGGGACAUUAUAAUAGAUAACCGUUCAUCAGUAUUACAACAAAUCAAUGAAAAACAUUGCAAGUUUAUGGCUAUGUAGUAUCCUUUAUUAUUUCCAUAUGGAGAGGAUGGUUACCAUGAUGACCUCAUGUACGACACCUCGCCACAAAUUCAAGCUAUAAGCCGUCAAAAAGUAACUAUGCUAGAGUACUAUGCAUAUAGACUACAUGAUAGACCAGGUGAUUUCAACACGCCAUUGAGAGGUAAAAGAUUGACACAAGCUUAUGAAGUGGAUGGUUAUUGUUGUGUUGAAGAAUUUUAUAUUGCAUUCUAUCGCAAGCCCGGAUUUCAGAAAAAAUAUAGAUCAUCAUCAUAUAAUGACUUGGCCAAUUCAGUCUCAAGAGGUAAUACAUCCGGUUCUUCAGUUGGUCAAAGGAUUAUAUUGCCAUCUUCAUUCACCGGAGGCCCGCAAUAUAUGUACCAAAAUUAUCAAGAUUCCAUCGCUAUAUGUAGGAAAUAUGGUUGCCCAGAUCUCUUUGUCACAUUCACUUCAAAUGCAGCUUGGCCUGAGAUAGUAGAGGCUCUAUCAUCCAUUCCAGGGCAACAACCUUCUGACCAUCCAUAUAUGGUUAAUAGGGUAUUCAAAAUGAAGCUAAAUAUGCUAAUGGAUGAUAUUAAAAAGAAACAAUUCUUUGGACCAACGAAUGCAGGUAAUUUGUCUCCCCCACAUCAUUAA